This 468-nucleotide ribosomal RNA is filed under the name uncultured bacterium. RNAcentral describes it as "partial 16S ribosomal RNA". It matches the Rfam family "Bacterial small subunit ribosomal RNA", at positions 28 to 507 of the family's 1533-position model. The record is from RNAcentral.
GACGAACGCUGGCGGCGUGCUUAACACAUGCAAGUCGAACGGAAAGGCCCUGCUUUUGUGGGGUGCUCGAGUGGCGAACGGGUGAGUAACACGUGAGUAACCUCCCCUUGACUUUAGGAUAACUUCAGGAAACUCGGGCUAAUACCGGAUAGGAGCUCCUGCUGCAUGGUGGGGGUUUGAAAGUUUCGGCGGUUGGGGAUUGCCUGGGGGCCUGUCAGGUUGUUGGGGGGGUAGUUGCCUACCAAGGCUUAGACGGGUAGCCGGCCCGAGAGGGUGAACGGACACAUUGGGACUGAGAGACGGCCCAGACGGCUACGGGAGGCAACAGGGGGGAAUAUUGCACAAGGGGGCGAAGCCUGAUGCAGCGACGCGGCGUGCGGAAUGACGGCCUUCGGGGUAAAAACCGAUUUCGCAUGAGAAGAAGAGUGAGUGACGGUAAUGGGUAAAGAAGCACCGGCUAACUACGUG